AAUUCAAGAGGACACUGGUCCAUGGCUAUCUUUCUUUUCUUACUGUAUCUUGUAACUUCUGUGGUGCUUUAUCGAGAUUUACCAGACACAGGAAGAAGAUGGCCAUCUAAAAGUCAAAAGAAGAAGCCUGGAACAGAUUUUUCCCUCACAGUUCUCAGAAGGAGCCAGUGGUGCCGACAACUUGAUCUAGUCUCCAGAGCUAUACCACAACCAAUUCCACUUAUUUAAGCCACCUAGGUUGUGGUACCUCGCUACAGCAUCACCUAGAAAAUUAAUGCACCUUCAUUACCCAGAGAUAACCUCAGUAAACACUUACUAUACAUUUAAAAAUCUGUGGCCUAUUUCUGUUUACUUAUUCAAAUAUUUUUUUUUCACAUAACACUAAAUUUUGAACAAAUUUUUCAGUCUAUGGCGGUGACGUCUUGUGCCCUACCCUGAAGUCCAUUUUUCCUUCCUCCCAGUAACAAUGCUCUAAUUUUAGUGCUCAAUCAAAAGAUAACAUUUGCAGCCUCCCUUGGGCCAUGUGCUUAUUUAUCUAAAUUCUGGACAAAAUGAUGUUAGCAGAAAUGUUGUAUUGGACUGUAAAGAACUGCAAAGUUUCUAAAAUUUUGCACUACUUGAAAGCAAAAAAGAAACCCUUCCACAGAAAGGUGGUUUUCUUGUCCCAGUUUUCUGAGUGCCAAUUCCCACAGGGCCAGAAGAGGAUGAGACACUUACAGAGCCUAAAACUUUUAUAAUGGUCAGUGAACCUGCACACCCUUUGUGUAGGACAGAAAUGCUGUUUCUACCUUGCAAGGCUGCUUCCUAUAAAAAAUUCUUAAAACGAUAGACCACCAGCCAACGUUUUGAGGAUGCAUUCAUAUUUUCAGAAUGACAGUAGGAAGAGAGGAAACUGAGCUCCAUACUAGUCCUGGCCUAUGCACCCCCCCAGACUUCUUUUAUGGCUGAGGAAAUUAAACUUCUUUAGUUAAAUCACUUAUUUUGGGAAUUUUCUGUGGUGCUGUCCAAUCCUAGGUCUAACUGGCAUGCAGUCAAUAAAACUUACAUUUAAAACUUCAUUUUUCAGCCGGGCACAGUGGCUCACAUGUGUAAUCCCAGCACCAAGUCAGGUGCAUCACCUGAGGUCAGGAAUUUGAGACCAGACUGGCCAACAUCGUGAAACCCUGUCUCUAUUAAAAUACAAAAUUAUUUUACUCUAUUAAAAAUACAAAAUUUAGCCGGGCGCGGUGGCGGGCACCUGUAAUCCCAGCUACUCGUAAGGCUGAGGCCGGAGAAUCAUUUGAACUCAGGAGGCAGAGGUUGCAGUGAGCCGAGGUGGCGCCAUUGCACUCCAGCCUGGGCAACAAGAGUGAAACUCCAUCUCAAAAAUAAAUAAAUAAAUAAAUAAAUAAAUAAAUAAAUAAAUAAAUAAAUAAAAUAAAAUAAAAUACUUCAUUUUUCAUAAUGACAAAGAAGUAAAUCAUAUAAUCAUACCAUCAUUUCCUUAGUUAAACCCAUUAUUGUACUCCCC
Molecule: long non-coding RNA, 1510 nt
Filed under: Homo sapiens (human)
Lineage: Eukaryota; Metazoa; Chordata; Mammalia; Primates; Hominidae
Description: HSALNT0341791
Source: RNAcentral